AAAUGCAAGAAGUUGAAUCAGGUUUAGUGAAGCCACCCAAGCAAGAAAAAAGCCCUAAUAUGGUUGGCUCUGAAAAUAAGGAAAUCAUCUACAAAAUGGAACUUCAUGUGGGAAAAAACAUGCUUAGUCACAAAGGCAUUGUUGAUAUACAGACAAAAGCUUAAGGAGGAAAAUGAAAAUCUGAGAACUGUGAUGACAAAGCCAGGAGAUCGUCAGGCAUGAGAGAAAUUCCUCUGGUGCAUUGGAGGAGUUGGUC
RNAcentral lists this long non-coding RNA (256 nucleotides) under Homo sapiens (human). RNAcentral describes it as "HSALNT0013046". The record is from RNAcentral. Lineage: Eukaryota; Metazoa; Chordata; Mammalia; Primates; Hominidae.